RNAcentral lists this long non-coding RNA (246 nucleotides) under Gallus gallus (chicken). RNAcentral describes it as "long non-coding RNA NONGGAT011752". Lineage: Eukaryota; Metazoa; Chordata; Aves; Galliformes; Phasianidae. The record is from RNAcentral.
UCAGGGUGCUGCUGUCCGGGUGGUAUCGCGCGGUACAGGAAUUUCAACGGGAGGAAGCCUCUGUUCAGAACUGGAUCUGUUACAGGACAUUGUGACGUUACUGCAGAAACACUGAUACUUGACUGAGAAUAGCAAGGAUGGGAAGUCAACUCUUAGCAGCGAGUACUGAUGCCCUGUCAGAUCCAGCGCUAAUCUCAUCUUGCUCUGCAGUGCGCUUCCCACUGUGGCCGUACUGCUGGCCGGCCU